AUAUUCAUUAAGUGGCAUGGUUACUAACAACCCUUGAACUUCAUAACUCACAGGCCAGCUCCAAAUUCUCACAGAAGUACCAUGAUCGACACACCUACCAACCCCAAGACCAGACCACCAAGCCAGAGAUGGCAGUCAAGUUACAUUCUCAUAGCAGUGACUAUAGCAACCAGCAAAAUUUCUUUACAUCUAAUCAUCUUGUCAAAUUAUCACCUUGAUGUCUCUUCCUGGAAUCAUCCAUCUCCUCCAUCUUCAGGUAACCUGAUUUCUGCUGGAAUAUCCCAGUUUGAUCACCAGAGCAAGUCAGAACAGUUGUGCAGACCUUAUCUCUUAAUUAAAUCCAGACCUUGAAGAUUCCUCUCCAUCAGGACUUCAUUUGUUCAUCAGAGAAGUAAUUAUGCUUCAUAAUCAGACAACUUGUGUGGUUCCUAUUCACUGCCCAUGUGACUUUUGACAAGUACUUCUAAAUUUCUGAGCCUGUUUUCUUUUAUAAAAUGGGAGUAUUAGUACCUACCUUCUAGAGGGGCUAUGAGAAUUCUCUGAGGUACCAUAAGGACAUGA
Molecule: long non-coding RNA, 561 nt
Filed under: Ictidomys tridecemlineatus (thirteen-lined ground squirrel)
Lineage: Eukaryota; Metazoa; Chordata; Mammalia; Rodentia; Sciuridae
Description: lncRNA (ENSSTOG00000034756.1)
Source: RNAcentral